UACGGAGGGUGCAAGCGUUAUCCGGAUUUACUGGGUUUAAAGGGUGCGUAGGUGGGUAGAUAAGUCAGCGGUGAAAUCUCCGGGCUUAACUCGGAAACUGCCAUUGAUACUAUCUGUCUUGAAUAUCCUGGAGGUGAGCGAAAUAUGUCAUGUAGCGGUGAAAUGCUUAGAUAUGACAUAGAACACCCAUUGCGAAGGCAGCUCACUACGGGAUUAUUGACACUGAGGCACGAAAGCGUGGGGAUCAAACAGG
RNAcentral lists this ribosomal RNA (253 nucleotides) under uncultured bacterium. RNAcentral describes it as "partial 16S ribosomal RNA". It matches the Rfam family "Bacterial small subunit ribosomal RNA", at positions 524 to 776 of the family's 1533-position model. The record is from RNAcentral.